This 1524-nucleotide ribosomal RNA is filed under the name uncultured bacterium. RNAcentral's name for it is "bacterial SSU rRNA". It matches the Rfam family "Bacterial small subunit ribosomal RNA". The record is from RNAcentral.
GAAUUCACUAGUGAUUAGAGUUUGAUCCUGGCUCAGAUUGAACGCUGGCGGCAUGCCUUACACAUGCAAGUCGAACGGUAACAGGUCUUCGGAUGCUGACGAGUGGCGAACGGGUGAGUAAUACAUCGGAACGUGCCCGAUCGUGGGGGAUAACGGAGCGAAAGCUUUGCUAAUACCGCAUACGAUCUAUGGAUGAAAGCGGGGGACCGUAAGGCCUCGCGCGAUUGGAGCGGCCGAUGUCAGAUUAGGUAGUUGGUGGGGUAAAGGCUCACCAAGCCAACGAUCUGUAGCUGGUCUGAGAGGACGACCAGCCACACUGGGACUGAGACACGGCCCAGACUCCUACGGGAGGCAGCAGUGGGGAAUAUUGGACAAUGGGCGAAAGCCUGAUCCAGCCAUGCCGCGUGUGUGAAGAAGGUCUUCGGAUUGUAAAGCACUUUAAGUUGGGAGGAAGGGUAGUAACUUAAUACGUUGCUACUUUGACGUUACCGACAGAAUAAGCACCGGCUAACUUCGUGCCAGCAGCCGCGGUAAUACGAAGGGUGCAAGCGUUAAUCGGAAUUACUGGGCGUAAAGCGCGCGUAGGUGGUUCAGUAAGUUGGAAGUGAAAUCCCCGGGCUCAACCUGGGAACUGCUUUCAAAACUGCUGAGCUAGAGUACGGUAGAGGGUGGGGGGAAUUUCCUGUGUAGCGGUGAAAUGCGUAGAUAUAGGAAGGAACACCAGUGGCGAAGGCGGCUAUCUGGACCGAUACUGACGCUGAGACGCGAAAGCGUGGGGAGCAAACAGGAUUAGAUACCCUGUAGUCCACGCCGUAAACGAUGGGCAUUAGGUGUCGCGGGUAUUGACCCCUGCGGUGCCGAAGCUAACGCAUUAAGUGCCCCGCCUGGGGAGUACGGUCGCAAGACUAAAACUCAAAGGAAUUGACGGGGGCCCGCACAAGCGGUGGAGCAUGUGGUUUAAUUCGACGCAACGCGAAGAACCUUACCUGGGUUUGACAUCCCGAUCGUACCUGCUGGAAACAGCGGGGUCAGUUCGGCUGGAUCGGAGACAGGUGCUGCAUGGCUGUCGUCAGCUCGUGUCGUGAGAUGUUGGGUUAAGUCCCGCAACGAGCGCAACCCUUGUCCUUAGUUGCCAUCAUUUAGUUGGGCACUCUAAGGAGACUGCCGGUGUUAAACCGGAGGAAGGUGGGGAUGACGUCAAGUCCUCAUGGCCCUUAUGUCCAGGGCUACACACGUGCUACAAUGGCCGGUACAAAGGGCAGCAAAGCCGCGAGGUGGAGCCAAUCCCAUAAAGCCGGUCUCAGUUCGGAUUGGAGUCUGCAACUCGACUCCAUGAAGUUGGAAUCGCUAGUAAUCGCGGAUCAGCAUGCCGCGGUGACUACGUUCCCGGGCCUUGUACACACCGCCCGUCACACCACGGGAGUUGAUUGUACCUGAAAUCGGUGGGCUAACCUUCGGGAGGCAGCCGCUUAUGGUAUGGUCGGUGACUGGGGUGAAGUCGUAACAAGGUAACCAUAGGGGAAC